CAGUAGCCGCGGUAACACGGAGGGUGCAAGCGUUGUCCGGAUUUAUUGGGUUUAAAGGGUGCGUAGGCGGCCUAAUAAGUCAGUGGUGAAAGCCUCCAGCUUAACUGGAGAACUGCCAUUGAUACUGUUAGGCUUGAGUAUACUUGAGGUAGGCGGAAUUGACAGUGUAGCGGUGAAAUGCAUAGAUAUUGUCAAGAACACCAAUUGCGAAGGCAGCUUACUAAAUUAUAACUGACGCUGAGGCACGAAAGUGUGGGUAUCAAACAGGAUUAGAUACCCGAGUAGUCCCUGUCUCUUAUAC
Molecule: ribosomal RNA, 301 nt
Filed under: uncultured bacterium
Lineage: Bacteria
Description: partial 16S ribosomal RNA
Rfam family: Bacterial small subunit ribosomal RNA
Source: RNAcentral